Molecule: non-coding RNA, 30 nt
Filed under: Rattus norvegicus (Norway rat)
Lineage: Eukaryota; Metazoa; Chordata; Mammalia; Rodentia; Muridae
Source: RNAcentral
UCAAAAGAACACACAUGGUAUGCACUCACU